CAGGGCUCAUGGUGGAUCCGGCCUACCCCGCGCGUCCGGGUUGAGGCUCGAGACGCUGGGUUGAUCUUGCUUAAGGAGAGCUUGAUGGGCUUUGGGCCAUUGUUCUCCUCUUGGACCCGGCCUCAUCCAGGGUAGAGGAAGCCCGAUGGUCAUCAAUUGCCCCUUUACCUCAUCGGCAGUUAUUACAUGAGUGGCGAGGAGGUAAAUCCCUAGACUCCAUUUAUGACUGCGUGGCCUGAGAACUGCUCUUGUUAAAAGCGCCCUUUCCUUGCCUUUUUAUUU
RNAcentral lists this long non-coding RNA (282 nucleotides) under Manihot esculenta (cassava). RNAcentral describes it as "long non-coding RNA (MESC_LNC011192)". Lineage: Eukaryota; Viridiplantae; Streptophyta; Magnoliopsida; Malpighiales; Euphorbiaceae. The record is from RNAcentral.